AGAGCUGGAAAGGGCUCGCAGAGAUGAUAUAAUGUCGUGGACUUCAACUUUUCGGGGCCAUAGACACUUUUCAGAAAUUGAUAAAACGUUGACACACCUUGUAAAAAAUGAACACAUUAAAAUUAAGCCUGCAGUUUGAGGUAAUGGAGAAGCACUGGAGAUUUGUAAGCCACGGAGUCAAAUGGUGGACUGGGAUUUUCAGGAGAUCAUUUAGAGAGCAAGAUCUUACCAAAUCCUUUAGUCAUGGUCUAUUUCGUUGCACUCAUAUGGGUGUUACUGCGAAGGUGAAGGACUAAUGACUGCAGCAGGAAAAAGAAUUGGAUGUGUCAUGAAUUAUGGCCCUGCUUAUACUUCUACUUCAACCAUAAUCAUUUGUUUAAACAAAAAGUUCUGCAUUUGAAUUGUCACAAUUGUGUGUGUGUUAUAAACAUCUCAUAUUUCAUCCAGGCUCAGCCAACACUUGCCUUUAUUAACACUCAUAAUCAAGAAAUAAAAUCUCAUACUAACCAAA
Molecule: long non-coding RNA, 511 nt
Filed under: Pan troglodytes (chimpanzee)
Lineage: Eukaryota; Metazoa; Chordata; Mammalia; Primates; Hominidae
Description: lincRNA
Source: RNAcentral